CAGCCUGCAACUCGGCUGCAUGAAGCUGGAAUCGCUAGUAAUCGCAGAUCAGAAUGCUGCGGUGAAUACGUUCCCGGGUCUUGUACACACCGCCCGUCACACCAUGGGAGUUGGAAAUGCCCGAAGUCAGUGACCGAACCGAAAGGAAGGAGCUGCCGAAGGUGGAGCCGAUGACUGGGGUGAAGUCGUAACAAGGUAAC
RNAcentral lists this ribosomal RNA (200 nucleotides) under uncultured bacterium. RNAcentral's name for it is "partial 16S ribosomal RNA". It matches the Rfam family "Bacterial small subunit ribosomal RNA", at positions 1301 to 1500 of the family's 1533-position model. The record is from RNAcentral.